CUUUGGGCAGUUUGGUGCUGUCAGAUAAUUGGUUUUACAGUCCCUUUAACCUAUUUAUUGGGUUAACAGCAUGCAUUAUACAAGCACAUUAUACAAGAGGAAGUUCUAUUACACUCAAUAUCAGCAUCACUGUGGCAUUAAAGGGAUAUUCUGGUGUAAAAUUAAGUUAGGGUCAAACACACCUUAACACAGAGUUAGACACCCUGGCGAGAGAUGAAUGUUGCCGACCGCUUGCUUCUCUAGUUAUACCAGCUUUAGCAACGACCAUAGAUAUCAAUACAGAGAGCCACGCGCUCAACCACAACACCACUCUAUAGCCACAAAUAAUGCUCAGAACAGCACCUAACGUCAUCAACAGUACAUAUAGCGUCCUAGCCACAGCACUAGCCACCAAACAUCUUUUUAACUUUGCCUGAUUUCUGUAGCAGUGAGACUAAACACAUCACCCACUCUCUUCCAGCAACCAUUUGUUUGUAUUUGUUUGUAUAAAAUAUUGAUAAUAUGACAAACUUUAAUAACAACCUUUAUUUAUAUAGCACUUUUCAGAACAGAGUUACAAGGUGCUUCACAACAUAAAAAAAGAAUAGAAAAGGAGAUAGAAGACAAUGAGAUUAUAAUAAAUCAGUCAACAGAAUAUACCACAGCAGGACAUCGAUACAACUGCCAAGACAAUCAGCCAACAGGAAUAGGAUAAAGCUCUAGUGAAGAGUUUUUUGAUGUUUAUGAAAUUUACUGAAAUUCAUAUUGAUAUUUUCAUGAUAAACCAUAGACUGAUCUCCUCAGGCAGUUUGUUCCAGACAGUGGGGGCCCUGACUGUAAAAGCCCAGUCCACUUUGGUCCUCAGCCUAGACUGUGGAUAGUCAGCAGACCUUUGACUGCGGACUUGAGGGUUUGACUGGGCUUGUAAGGCAUAAUCACAUCAGCAAUGUUCUUUGGGCUUUUAAAAUCAAGAUAGCUGUAAUAAAUGUUGGCUUUGCAGUGACAGAGAAGAAUACAGGGAUUUAUAGUAGUCCAGGUGCACAGAGAGGGCGGCAUAUAUGACUGUUUCGAGGUGUUUUUUUGGAAACAUGCAACUGAUUUUGGAAAGUCUUCUAAGCUGAUAAACCAUGUCUGAACUACUGAAAUGAUGUGAUACUCCAGAUUGAGGUUGUUAUUUAAAAUGAAUCCAACUGGACCGUGUAAUAUACGAUAAUCUGCCUCCACACUCCAUACCUCUUGUCCAAUCGAAUUGUUUGCAAGGAAACAACCAUUGUUGGCUUGUUAUGUCAUUUUUGUCCUUCUGGGCUCCCACACAACUGAUGUACAGUAUGUAGCAAGCACGCGCUCAUACACUCUGUCUGUCAUACCCACACACUGUAAGAACAUUAGUCUGGGGCUCAUGAGAAGUAGUUCAAGGCAAAACCUGGACAGUCUUUGCUAAAAGGUAAGACAAUUAUGGCAGAGAGAGCUCCUGAUUGGCUGUCGAUAUUGUAAUUUAAUGUUAUGGCUUGGCUCGGUCUUUGAACUAACUAUAACUGCUGCAUGUGUCUGUGUUUGUGUGAGGUGAUUCCUGUAAUAGUGCUACUGUAUUAAUAAUUAAGGUGGUGAUUUUACUGUGAAGCUGUGUUUCAGCAUAUAUGAGUGCAGAUUUCUGUGUGUGUUGGUGUGUUUGUAUGUGCUACGAGUGUUAAUGAUGACAGAAAAGGGAGCCUGAGAGGCCACACAGUUAAAUUAUGCAUGUAGUGUAAUUAGCCAAUCAAGUGUUUAAAUUAGAUGUUGAUGACUCUUUGCCACAAAUGAGAAGAUGACACUCCCUCAGGUCAAGGAGGGCUUCCCCCAACGACAAGAGCAAUGCCAAAGACAAGGAGCACAAUUAUCCCAGCGUUGUGCCCAAACAUGUUAAAUGUAGCUCGCUCUUUAUUGGGGUUAUGAAUUACAUGUUUUUGUCAUUGUGGUUUAUUUCAUUUAACCAUUUAAUUCAUUCUUUUACUAACGAAGCGAAAAGUGGCUAAUUAGCUUAUCUGAUAAACAGCUUUAAUUAUAUUCUCAU
RNAcentral lists this long non-coding RNA (2029 nucleotides) under Xyrichtys novacula (pearly razorfish). Lineage: Eukaryota; Metazoa; Chordata; Actinopteri; Labriformes; Labridae. The record is from RNAcentral.